Molecule: ribosomal RNA, 497 nt
Filed under: uncultured bacterium
Lineage: Bacteria
Description: partial 16S ribosomal RNA
Rfam family: Bacterial small subunit ribosomal RNA
Source: RNAcentral
GAUGAACGCUGGCGGCGUGCCUAAUACAUGCAAGUCGAGCGAACAGAUGAGGAGCUUGCUCCUCUGACGUUAGCGGCGGACGGGUGAGUAACACGUGGAUAACCGACCUAUAAGACUGGGAUAACUUCGGGAAACCGGAUCUAAUACCGGAUAAUAUAUUGAACCGCAUGGUUCAAUAGUGAAAGACGGUUAUGCUGUCACUUAUAGAUGGAUCCGCGCCGCAUUAGCUAGUUGGUAAGGUAACGGCUUACCAAGGCAACGAUGCGUAGCCGACCUGAGAGGGUGAUCGGCCACACUGGAACUGAGACACGGUCCAGACUCCUACGGGAGGCAGCAGUAGGGAAUCUUCCGCAAUGGGCGAAAGCCUGACGGAGCAACGCCGCGUGAGUGAUGAAGGUCUUCGGAUCGUAAAACUCUGUUAUUAGGGAAGAACAAAUGUGUAAGUAACUAUGCACGUCUUGACGGUACCUAAUCAGAAAGCCACGGCUAACUACGUG